AUUGGACGCUGGCGGCAGGCCUAACACAUGCAAGUCGAACGGUAACAGGAAACAGCUUGCUGUUUCGCUGACGAGUGGCGGACGGGUGAGUAAUGUCUGGGAAACUGCCUGAUGGAGGGGGAUAACUACUGGAAACGGUAGCUAAUACCGCAUAACGUCGCAAGACCAAAGAGGGGGACCUUCGGGCCUCUUGCCAUCGGAUGUGCCCAGAUGGGAUUAGCUAGUAGGUGGGGUAACGGCUCACCUAGGCGACGAUCCCUAGCUGGUCUGAGAGGAUGACAGGCCAGACUGGAACUGAGACACGGUCCAGACUCCGACGGGAGGCAGCAGUGGGGAAUAUUGCACAAUGGGCGCAAGCCUGAUGCAGCCAGGCCGCGUGUAUGAAGAAGGCCUUCGGGUUGUAAAGUACUUUCAGCGGGGAGGAAGGGAGUAAAGUUAAUACCAUUGCUCAUUGACGUUACCCGCAGAAGAAGCACCGGCUAACUCCGUGCCAGCCGCCGCCGUAA
RNAcentral lists this ribosomal RNA (506 nucleotides) under uncultured bacterium. RNAcentral describes it as "partial 16S ribosomal RNA". It matches the Rfam family "Bacterial small subunit ribosomal RNA", at positions 30 to 523 of the family's 1533-position model. The record is from RNAcentral.